This 468-nucleotide ribosomal RNA is filed under the name uncultured bacterium. Its description in RNAcentral is "partial 16S ribosomal RNA". It matches the Rfam family "Bacterial small subunit ribosomal RNA", at positions 28 to 506 of the family's 1533-position model. The record is from RNAcentral.
GACGAACGCUGGCGGCGUGCUUAACACAUGCAAGUCGAACGGAAAGGCCCUGCUUGCAGGGUGCUCGAGUGGCGAACGGGUGAGUAACACGUGGGUGAUCUGCCCCUUACUUUGGGAUAAGCCUGGGAAACUGGGUCUAAUACUGGAUAGGACCAUGCUGUAGGUGGUGUGGUGGAAAGAUUAGUUUCGGUAAGGGAUGAGCUCGCGGCCUAUCAGCUUGUUGGUGGGGUAAUGGCCUACCAAGGCGUCGACGGGUAGCCGGCCUGAGAGGGUGGACGGCCACAUUGGGACUGAGAUACGGCCCAGACUCCGACGGGAGGCAGCAGUGGGGAAUAUUGCACAAUGGGCGCAAGCCUGAUGCAGCGACGCCGCGUGGGGGAUGACGGCCUUCGGGUUGUAAACUCCUUUCAGCCAUGACGAAGCCCUUGUGGUGACGGUAGUGGUAGAAGAAGCACCGGCUAACUACGU